RNAcentral lists this unclassified non-coding RNA (238 nucleotides) under air metagenome. RNAcentral describes it as "partial contains small subunit ribosomal RNA, internal transcribed spacer 1, and 5.8S ribosomal RNA". The stretch from base 1 to 46 matches the Rfam family "Eukaryotic small subunit ribosomal RNA", at positions 1786 to 1831 of the family's 1831-position model. The record is from RNAcentral.
AAGUCGUAACAAGGUUUCCGUAGGUGAACCUGCGGAAGGAUCAUUAAUGAAUUUGGGUGCUCUUCGAGAGGCCCGACCUUCAUUCUUCCACCCUGUGAACUAUUUUUUGUAGUUGAGGAGAGGUAGCAAUACCUUUUUCUCGUUAUACAACUACAAUCAUUUUUAAACUCUAAUAAGUCAAAGAAUGUUAUAAAUUAUAAACUAAAUAAAACUUUCAACAACGGAUCUCUUGGCUCUC